Molecule: ribosomal RNA, 678 nt
Filed under: Saccharopolyspora sp. KLBMP 1259
Lineage: Bacteria; Bacillati; Actinomycetota; Actinomycetes; Pseudonocardiales; Pseudonocardiaceae
Description: bacterial SSU rRNA
Rfam family: Bacterial small subunit ribosomal RNA
Source: RNAcentral
AUUAGUGGCGAACGGGUGAGUAACACGUGGGUAAUCUGCCCUGCACUCUGGGAUAAGCCUUGGAAACGGGGUCUAAUACCGGAUACGACACGUCACCGCAUGGUGUGCGUGUGGAAAGUUCCGGCGGUGCAGGAUGAGCCCGCGGCCUAUCAGCUUGUUGGUGGGGUAGUGGCCUACCAAGGCGACGACGGGUAGCCGGCCUGAGAGGGUGACCGGCCACACUGGGACUGAGACACGGCCCAGACUCCUACGGGAGGCAGCAGUGGGGAAUCUUGCGCAAUGGGCGAAAGCCUGACGCAGCAACGCCGCGUGGGGGAUGACGGCCUUCGGGUUGUAAACCUCUUUCGACAGGGACGAAGCUUUCGGGUGACGGUACCUGUAGAAGAAGCACCGGCUAACUACGUGCCAGCAGCCGCGGUAAUACGUAGGGUGCGAGCGUUGUCCGGAUUUAUUGGGCGUAAAGAGCUCGUAGGCGGUUUGUCGCGUCGGCCGUGAAAACCUGCAGCUUAACUGUGGGCGUGCGGUCGAUACGGGCAGACUUGAGUUCGGCAGGGGAGACUGGAAUUCCUGGUGUAGCGGUGAAAUGCGCAGAUAUCAGGAGGAACACCGGUGGCGAAGGCGGGUCUCUGGGCCGAUACUGACGCUGAGGAGCGAAAGCAUGGGGAGCGAACAGGAUUA